This 508-nucleotide ribosomal RNA is filed under the name uncultured bacterium. RNAcentral's name for it is "partial 16S ribosomal RNA". It matches the Rfam family "Bacterial small subunit ribosomal RNA", at positions 28 to 507 of the family's 1533-position model. The record is from RNAcentral.
GGCGAACGCUGGCGGCGUGCCUAAUACAUGCAAGUCGAGCGCAGGAAGUCAUCCGAACCCUUCGGGGGGACGUUGACGGAAUGAGCGGCGGACGGGUGAGUAACACGUAAAGAACCUGCCCUCAGGUCUGGGAUAACCACGAGAAAUCGGGGCUAAUACCGGAUGGGUCAUCGGACCGCAUGGUCCGAGGAUGAAAGGCGCUCCGGCGUCGCCUGGGGAUGGCUUUGCGGUGCAUUAGCUAGUUGGUGGGGUAAUGGCCCACCAAGGCGACGAUGCAUAGCCGACCUGAGAGGGUGAUCGGCCACACUGGGACUGAGACACGGCCCAGACUCCUACGGGAGGCAGCAGUAGGGAAUCUUCCACAAUGGACGAAAGUCUGAUGGAGCAACGCCGCGUGAACGAUGAAGGCCCUCGGGUCGUAAAGUUCUGUUGUAAGGGAAGAACAAGUGCCGCAGGCAAUGGCGGCACCUUGACGGUACCUUGCGAGAAAGCCACGGCUAACUACGUG